UACGAAGGACCCGAGCGUUAUCCGGAUUUAUUGGGUUUAAAGGGUGCGUAGGCGGACUUAUAAGUCAGUGGUGAAAUCCCCAGGCUUAACCUGGGAACUGCCAUUGAAACUAUUUGUCUUGAGUACAUUUGAGGCGGGCGGAAUGUGUCAUGUAGAGGUGAAAUUCUUAGAUAUGACACAGAACACCAAUUGCGAAGGCAGCUCGCUAAACUGUAACUGACGCUGAGGCACGAAAGUGUGGGUAGCAAACAGG
RNAcentral lists this ribosomal RNA (253 nucleotides) under uncultured bacterium. Its description in RNAcentral is "partial 16S ribosomal RNA". It matches the Rfam family "Bacterial small subunit ribosomal RNA", at positions 524 to 776 of the family's 1533-position model. The record is from RNAcentral.